AGAGUUUGAUCAUGGCUCAGAAUCAACGCUGGCGGCGCGCUUAACACAUGCAAGUCGAACGAGAAAGGGGAGCAAUCCCUGAGUAAAGUGGCGUACGGGUGAGUAACACGUGGAUGAUCUACCUCUUGGUGGGGAAUACCUCUGGGAAACCGGAGACAAUACCGCAUAAGCUCGGAAGAGGAAACCCGCAAGGGGCCGAGAGAGGAGUCCGCGGCCGAUUAGCUAGUUGGUAGGGUAAGAGCCUACCAAGGCGAAGAUCGGUAGCCGGCCUGAGAGGGCACACGGCCACACUGGCACUGAAACACGGGCCAGACUCCUACGGGAGGCAGCAGUGGGGAAUCUUGCACAAUGGGGGAAACCCUGAUGCAGCGACGCCGCGUGAGCGAUGAAGCCCUUCGGGGUGUAAAGCUCUUUCGACGGGAACGAUAAUGACGGUACCCGGAGAAGAAGCUGCGGCUAACUACGUGCCAGCAGCCGCGGUAAUACGUAGGCAGCAAGCGUUGUUCGGAGUUACUGGGCGUAAAGAGUGCGUAGGUGGUGCCCUAAGUCUGUUGUGAAAUCUCCCGGCUUAACUGGGAGGGUGCGGUGGAAACUGGGGUGCUUGAGUGUGGGAGAGGUAAGCGGAAUUCCUGGUGUAGCGGUGAAAUGCGUAGAUAUCAGGAGGAACACCGGUGGUGUAGACGGCUUACUGGACCACGACUGACACUGAGGCACGAAAGCGUGGGUAGCAAACAGGAUUAGAUACCCUAGUAGUCC
Molecule: ribosomal RNA, 756 nt
Filed under: uncultured bacterium
Lineage: Bacteria
Description: bacterial SSU rRNA
Rfam family: Bacterial small subunit ribosomal RNA
Source: RNAcentral